Molecule: unclassified non-coding RNA, 395 nt
Filed under: soil metagenome
Description: partial contains 5.8S ribosomal RNA, internal transcribed spacer 2, and large subunit ribosomal RNA
Rfam family: 5.8S ribosomal RNA (bases 1-122)
Source: RNAcentral
GAUGAAGAACGUAGCGAAAUGCGAUACUUGGUGUGAAUUGCAGAAUCCCGUGAACCAUCGAGUCUUUGAACGCAAGUUGCGCCCGAAGCCAUCAGGUUGAGGGCACGUCUGCCUGGGCGUCACAUAUCGUUGCCCAAUGCCUAUUGCAGUGCAAUAGGAAUUUCUAGGGCGAAUGAUGGCUUCCCGUGAGCGUUGUUGCCUCGCGGUUGGUUGAAAAUCGAGUCCUUGGUAGGGUGUGCCAUGGUAGAUGGUGGUCGAGUUAGAACGAUACCGAUCAUGUGCAUGCUCCCCAAAAUAUGACCUCUAUGACCCACACGCGUCUUUUGACGCUCAUGACGAGACCUCAGGUCAGGCGGGGCUACCCGCUGAAUUUAAGCAUAUCAAUAAGCGGAGGA